Molecule: ribosomal RNA, 253 nt
Filed under: uncultured bacterium
Lineage: Bacteria
Description: partial 16S ribosomal RNA
Rfam family: Bacterial small subunit ribosomal RNA
Source: RNAcentral
UACGGGGGGGGCAAGCGUUGUUCGGAAUUACUGGGCGUAAAGGGCUCGUAGGCGGCCAACUAAGUCAGACGUGAAAUCCCUCGGCUUAACCGGGGAACUGCGUCUGAUACUGGAUGGCUUGAGGUUGGGAGAGGGAUGCGGAAUUCCAGGUGUAGCGGUGAAAUGCGUAGAUAUCUGGAGGAACACCGGUGGCGAAGGCGGCAUCCUGGACCAAUUCUGACGCUGAGGAGCGAAAGCUAGGGGAGCAAACAGG